UACGUAGGUGGCGAGCGUUGUCCGGAAUUAUUGGGCGUAAAGCGCGCGUAGGCGGGAUAUUAAGUCUAUUCUAAAAGUGCGGGGCUCAACCCCGUGAUGGGAUGGAAACUAAUAUUCUUGAGUACCGGAGAGGAAAGCGGAAUUCCCAGUGUAGCGGUGAAAUGCGUAGAUAUUGGGAGGAACACCAGUGGCGAAGGCGGCUUUCUGGACGGUGUCUGACGCUGAGGCGCGAAAGCCAGGGGAGCGAACGGGAUUAGAUACCCCGGUAGUCCUGGCCGUAAACGAUGGGUACUAGGUGUAGGGGGUAUCGACCCCUCCUGUGCCAGAGUUAACGCAAUAAGUACCCCGCCUGGGGAGUACGGCCGCAAGGUUGAA
This 375-nucleotide ribosomal RNA is filed under the name uncultured bacterium. RNAcentral's name for it is "bacterial SSU rRNA". It matches the Rfam family "Bacterial small subunit ribosomal RNA", at positions 524 to 898 of the family's 1533-position model. The record is from RNAcentral.